GACGAACGCUGGCGGCGUGCCUAAUACAUGCAAGUUGAGCGCUGAAGGUUGGUACUUGUACCAACUGGAUGAGCAGCGAACGGGUGAGUAACGCGUGGGGAAUCUGCCUUUGAGCGGGGGACAAUAUUUGGAAACGAAUGCUAAUACCGCAUAAAAACUUUAAACACAAGUUUUAAGUUUGAAAGAUGCAAUUGCAUCACUCAAAGAUGAUCCCGCGUUGUAUUAGCUAGUUGGUGACGUAAAGGCUCACCAAGGCGAUGAUACAUAGCCGACCUGAGAGGGUGAUCGGCCACAUUGGGACUGAGACACGGCCCAAACUCCUACGGGAGGCAGCAGUAGGGAAUCUUCGGCAAUGGACGAAAGUCUGACCGAGCAACGCCGCGUGAGUGAAGAAGGUUUUCGGAUCGUAAAACUCUGUUGGUAGAGAAGAACGUUGGUGAGAGUGGAAAGCUCAUCAAGUGACGGUAACUACCCAGAAAGGGACGGCUAACUACGUG
RNAcentral lists this ribosomal RNA (497 nucleotides) under uncultured bacterium. Its description in RNAcentral is "partial 16S ribosomal RNA". It matches the Rfam family "Bacterial small subunit ribosomal RNA", at positions 28 to 507 of the family's 1533-position model. The record is from RNAcentral.